AACGAACGCUGGCGGCAUGCCUAACACAUGCAAGUCGAACGAGACCUUCGGGUCUAGUGGCGCACGGGUGCGUAACGCGUGGGAACCUGCCCUUAGGUUCGGAAUAACUCCCCGAAAGGGGUGCUAAUACCGGAUAAUGUCUUCGGACCAAAGAUUUAUCGCCUUUGGAUGGGCCCGCGUUGGAUUAGCUAGUUGGUAGGGUAAAAGCCUACCAAGGAGACGAUCCAUAGCUGGUCUGAGAGGAUGAUCAGCCACACUGGGACUGAGACACGGACCAGACUCGUACGGGAGGGAGCAGUAGGGAACAUUAGACAAUGAGCGAAAGCCUGAUAACGCCAUGCCGCGUGAGUGAUGAAGGGCUUAGGGUUGUAAAGCUCUUUUACACGGGAUGAUAAUGACAGUACCGGGAGAAUAAGCUCCGGCUAACUACGUG
This 433-nucleotide ribosomal RNA is filed under the name uncultured bacterium. RNAcentral's name for it is "partial 16S ribosomal RNA". It matches the Rfam family "Bacterial small subunit ribosomal RNA", at positions 29 to 507 of the family's 1533-position model. The record is from RNAcentral.